AGGUAAGCUACUAAGAGCGAAUGGUGGAUGCCUUGACUGGUAAAGGCGAUGAAGGACGUACUAGACUGCGAUAAGCUACGGGGAGCUGUCAAGAAGCUUUGAUCCGUAGAUUUCCGAAUGGGGCAACCCAAUGUAUAGAGAUAUACAUUACCUAUAUAGGAGCGAACGAGGGGAAUUGAAACAUCUUAGUACCCUCAGGAAAAGAAAUCAAUAGAGAUUGCGUCAGUAGCGGCGAGCGAAAGCGUAAGAGGGCAAACCCAGUGCUUGCACUGGGGGUUGUAGGACUGCAAUGUGCAAGAGGUGAGUUUAGCAGAACAUUCUGGAAAGUAUAGCCAUAGAGGGUGAUAGUCCCGUAUGCGAAAAACAAACCUUAGCUAGCAGUAUCCUGAGUAGGGCGGGACACGAGAAAUCCUGUCUGAAGCUGGGUCGACCACGAUCCAACCCUAAAUACUAAUACCAGAUCGAUAGUGCACAAGUACCGUGAGGGAAAGGUGAAAAGAACUGAGGUGAUCAGAGUGAAAUAGAACCUGAAACCAUUUGCUUACAAUCAUUCAGAGCACUAUGUAGCAAUACAGUGUGAUGGACUGCCUUUUGCAUAAUGAGCCUGCGAGUUGUGGUGUCUGGCAAGGUUAAGCAAACGCGAAGCCGUAGCGAAAGCGAGUCUGAAUAGGGCGCUUAGUCAGAUGCUGCAGACCCGAAACGAAGUGAUCUAUCCAUGAGCAAGUUGAAGCUAGUGUAAGAACUAGUGGAGGACUGAACCCAUAGGCGUUGAAAAGCCCCGGGAUGACUUGUGGAUAGGGGUGAAAGGCCAAUCAAACUUCGUGAUAGCUGGUUCUCUCCGAAAUAUAUUUAGGUAUAGCGUUGUGUCGUAAUAUAAGGGGGUAGAGCACUGAAUGGGCUAGGGCAUACACCAAUGUACCAAACCCUAUCAAACUCCGAAUACCUUAUAUGUAAUCACAGCAGUCAGGCGGCGAGUGAUAAAAUCCGUCGUCAAGAGGGAAACAACCCAGACUACCAGCUAAGGUCCCUAAAUCUUACUUAAGUGGAAAACGAUGUGAAGUUACUUAAACAACCAGGAGGUUGGCUUAGAAGCAGCCAUCCUUUAAAGAAAGCGUAAUAGCUCACUGGUCUAGUGAUUUUGCGCGGAAAAUAUAACGGGGCUAAAGUAAGUACCGAAGCUGUAGACUUGAUUUUAUCAAGUGGUAGGAGAGCGUUCUAUUUGCGCCGAAGGUAUACCGGUAAGGAGUGCUGGAGCGAAUAGAAGUGAGCAUGCAGGCAUGAGUAGCGAUAAUUAAUGUGAGAAUCAUUAACGCCGUAAACCCAAGGUUUCCUACGCGAUGCUCGUCAUCGUAGGGUUAGUCGGGUCCUAAGUCGAGUCCGAAAGGGGUAGACGAUGGCAAAUUGGUUAAUAUUCCAAUACCAACAUUAGUGUGCGAUGGAAGGACGCUUAGGGCUAAGGGGGCUAGCGGAUGGAAGUGCUAGUCUAAGGUCGUAGGAGGUUAUACAGGCAAAUCCGUAUAACAUACUCCGAGAACUGAAAGGCUUUUUGAAGUCUUCGGAUGGAUAGAAGAACCCCUGAUGCCGUCGAGCCAAGAAAAGUUUCUAAGUUUAGCUAAUGUUGCCCGUACCGUAAACCGACACAGGUGGGUGGGAUGAGUAUUCUAAGGCGCGUGGAAGAACUCUCUUUAAGGAACUCUGCAAAAUAGCACCGUAUCUUCGGUAUAAGGUGUGGUUCGCUUCGUAUUAGGAUUUACUCCGAAAGCGAAGAAACUUACAACAAAGAGUCCCUCCCGACUGUUUACCAAAAACACAGCACUCUGCUAACUCGUAAGAGGAUGUAUAGGGUGUGACGCCUGCCCGGUGCUCGAAGGUUAAUUGAUGGGGUUAGCAUUAGCGAAGCUCUUGAUCGAAGCCCGAGUAAACGGCGGCCGUAACUAUAACGGUCCUAAGGUAGCGAAAUUCCUUGUCGGUUAAAUACCGACCUGCAUGAAUGGCGUAACGAGAUGGGAGCUGUCUCAAAGAGGGAUCCAGUGAAAUUGUAGUGGAGGUGAAAAUUCCUCCUACCCGCGGCAAGACGGAAAGACCCCGUGGACCUUUACUACAGCUUGACACUGCUAUUUGGAUAAGAAUGUGCAGGAUAGGUGGGAGGCUUUGAGUAUAUGACGCCAGUUGUAUAUGAGCCAUUGUUGAGAUACCACUCUUUCUUAUUUGGGUAGCUAACCAGCUUGAGUUAUCCUCAAGUGGGACAAUGUCUGGUGGGUAGUUUGACUGGGGCGGUCGCCUCCCAAAUAAUAACGGAGGCUUACAAAGGUUGGCUCAGAACGGUUGGAAAUCGUUCGUAGAGUAUAAAGGUAUAAGCCAGCUUAACUGCAAGACAUACAAGUCAAGCAGAGACGAAAGUCGGUCUUAGUGAUCCGGUGGUUCUGUGUGGAAGGGCCAUCGCUCAAAGGAUAAAAGGUACCCCGGGGAUAACAGGCUGAUCUCCCCCAAGAGCUCACAUCGACGGGGAGGUUUGGCACCUCGAUGUCGGCUCAUCGCAUCCUGGGGCUGGAGCAGGUCCCAAGGGUAUGGCUGUUCGCCAUUUAAAGCGGUACGCGAGCUGGGUUCAGAACGUCGUGAGACAGUUCGGUCCCUAUCUGCCGUGGGCGUAAGAAGAUUGAAGAGAUUUGACCCUAGUACGAGAGGACCGGGUUGAACAAACCACUGGUGUAGCUGUUGUUCUGCCAAGAGCAUCGCAGCGUAGCUAAGUUUGGAAAGGAUAAACGCUGAAAGCAUCUAAGCGUGAAGCCAACUCUAAGAUGAAUCUUCUCUAAGCUCUCUAGAAGACUACUAGUUUGAUAGGCUGGGUGUGUAAUGGAUGAAAGUCCUUUAGCUGACCAGUACUAAUAGAGCGUUUGGCUUAUCUUU
Molecule: ribosomal RNA, 2907 nt
Filed under: Campylobacter coli
Lineage: Bacteria; Pseudomonadati; Campylobacterota; Epsilonproteobacteria; Campylobacterales; Campylobacteraceae
Description: 23S ribosomal RNA
Rfam family: Bacterial large subunit ribosomal RNA
Source: RNAcentral